CACGUAGGGCGCAAGCGUUGUCCGGAAUUAUUGGGCGUAAAGAGCUCGUAGGCGGUGUGUCGCGUCGGCCGUGAAAACCUGCAGCUUAACUGUGGGCUUGCGGUCGAUACGGGCAUCACUGGAGUUCGGCAGGGGAGACUGGAAUUCCUGGUGUAGCGGUGAAAUGCGCAGAUAUCAGGAGGAACACCGGUGGCGAAGGCGGGUCUCUGGGCCUGACCUGACGCUGAGGAGCGAAAGCGUGGGGAGCGAACAGG
RNAcentral lists this ribosomal RNA (254 nucleotides) under uncultured bacterium. Its description in RNAcentral is "partial 16S ribosomal RNA". It matches the Rfam family "Bacterial small subunit ribosomal RNA", at positions 524 to 776 of the family's 1533-position model. The record is from RNAcentral.